CUCUCAAUUCUAUUCAGUGGAUCUAUUUGUAUACCUGUAGACCAGUACCAUACCAUCUUGAUGACUGAAACUUUGUAUUAAGUUUUGAAGUUGAAAAUUAUGAAUCUUCCAACUCUGUCUUUUUGAAGAUUAUUUUGGCUCUUCUUGAUUUCCAUGUGUGUUUUAGGAUCAGUUUGUCCAUUUCCGCAAAGAAACCAGCUGAAUUUUUAUUAGGAUUGAGUUGAAUCUGUAGAGCAAUAUGGUGAGUACUGUCAUCUUAAUAUUAAGUAUUUACCGUCCAUGAACAGGGUAGGUGUUUUCAUUUGUUGGAAUCUUAGGAAAUUUCUUUCAACAACAUUUUGUAGUUUUCAGCAUAUAUCUUACACCUCUUUUAUUAAAUUUAUCCCUGAGUAUUUUAUUCUUUUUGAUGCUAUUGUAAAUAGAAUAGUUUUUCUUAAUUUUAUUGUUGCAAUGUUCAUUUCUAAAGUAUAAAAAUAUGAUUGAUUUUUGCAUAUUGAACUUGUGCCCUGCAAACUUACUGAACUCAUUUAUUUGCUCUAAUAGUUUUUAAUUUAAUUCCUUUGGAUUUUUUGAUAUAUGCAAGAGCAUGUCAUCUGUUUUAGUCCUUCUGUUCCAAUCUGGGUGACUUAUUUUCUUGUGUAAUUGCCCUGGCUAGAACCUCCAGUACAAUGUUAAAGAGAUGUGGUGAUAGCAGACAUCCUGAUCUUUUGUUCCUGAUCUUAAACAGGAAGACAUGCAGAGAGAGAGGAGAGAGAAGGAAAGGCAGAAAUUCGAUGGGUUGCAUCCUGCAUGCACCCUGACCACGGCCCUGGGUCGGAGAGGAGCCUGCAACUGAGCUUUCUGGAAUGCAAAUAUGAGGGCUGGAACUCCAGGAGACAUUUGGGCCAUGAAGAAAACUUGAAGAUAAAAGCUGCAUGUUAAAGAUAGUGGAUCAAAAAGAUUGAAAGAGCUUGGUUAUCUGAUGAUGGCAGAGCUGGCUCACCAGCCCAGGGCUGCCUACCUCUGAGCUUCCUUUACAUAGAAAAUAAAACUUGUAUCUUGUUUGAUCUGAUUAUUUGAAUUUUUCAUUCUAUAUGCCACUAGAAAAUAAUCCUAACUAAUGAAUAGUGUGUCACUGUUUAGAAAAGAGGCUCUGGGAUUGACAAAACUGAAGUUGAGAACCUACUCUGCAAUUAAUUAGCUGAGUGACCUUGGGCAUGUUAGUUAGCCUUUCUAGUCUGAGGUCAUCAUCUGUAAAAUGGGAAUAAUGGGUGGUACCUACGUCGUAGGGUUGUUGUGAAGAUUAAAUGAAAUAUUACAUGCAGAAUGCUUAGUGCAAUGCCUGGCACAGACUAACAAUCAGCAAAUGUCAGUAAUAAAUAAUCUAAGGCAAAGAAGAAAUCAGUGGUCUCCAACCUAAACUAAGACUGUGGCUCUUCUUGUUAAUCUUUCUAUGUAUCUUUUGUCAUCUAUCUCUCCCAUUCCUCAAUUUUCAACAUACUCUUUCCAAGCCUGUG
This is a long non-coding RNA of Myotis daubentonii (Daubenton's bat), 1496 nucleotides long. RefSeq lists it as uncharacterized. The record is from RefSeq and is a predicted model, not a curated record. NCBI's taxonomy places the organism in Eukaryota, Metazoa, Chordata, Mammalia, Chiroptera, Vespertilionidae. The transcript is spliced from 3 exons.